CUAGGGGCUUUAAAGCCAGAUACGUGAAAGAGUCAUAAGAGGUGUCUGCGGUUAACCACAACGUUCUAAUUGGGAUCAAGAGGUUAACCAGCAGCUCACUUCUCUUCUGGGUGGCCGUCCGUUCGGUAAGUUCAUUCGGUAGAAAAGUCAAAUAAACGAACAGGGGCAUACAGACAGGUAAUUCCACGAAAAGAGGCAAAACAGACGAACCAGCAAUCUUAGUCUAUACAGAUGGAUC
This is a non-coding RNA of Pelobates cultripes (western spadefoot toad), 238 nucleotides long. The record is from the annotation of a GenBank genome assembly. NCBI's taxonomy places the organism in Eukaryota, Metazoa, Chordata, Amphibia, Anura, Pelobatidae.